Molecule: ribosomal RNA, 399 nt
Filed under: uncultured Lactobacillus sp.
Lineage: Bacteria; Bacillati; Bacillota; Bacilli; Lactobacillales; Lactobacillaceae
Description: bacterial SSU rRNA
Rfam family: Bacterial small subunit ribosomal RNA
Source: RNAcentral
AAACUAACAGAUUUACUUCGGUAAUGACGUUAGGAAAGCGAGCGGCGGAUGGGUGAGUAACACGUGGGGAACCUGCCCCAUAGUCUGGGAUACCACUUGGAAACAGGUGCUAAUACCUGAUAAGAAAGCAGAUCGCAUGAUCAGCUUUUAAAAGGCGGCGUAAGCUGUCGCUAUGGGAUGGCCCCGCGGUGCAUUAGCUAGUUGGUAAGGUAAAGGCUUACCAAGGCGAUGAUGCAUAGCCGAGUUGAGAGACUGAUCGGCCACAUUGGGACUGAGACACGGCCCAAACUCCUACGGGAGGCAGCAGUAGGGAAUCUUCCACAAUGGACGCAAGUCUGAUGGAGCAACGCCGCGUGAGUGAAGAAGGUUUUCGGAUCGUAGAGCUCUGUUGUUGGUGAA